RNAcentral lists this long non-coding RNA (354 nucleotides) under Capsella rubella. Its description in RNAcentral is "long non-coding RNA (CRUB_LNC003838)". The record is from RNAcentral. Lineage: Eukaryota; Viridiplantae; Streptophyta; Magnoliopsida; Brassicales; Brassicaceae.
CUUAGGUGGCAUCAUGAGAAGAGAGAAAAAGCUAACUUUAUAUAUAUAGAUACCUACGUAAUCAAUCUAGAGAAGAAACUAACUUCUUUGCAUUAAAAACAUUUAUGGCUAAUAUUAAAAAAAAAAAACUCAUCAGUGCUAUCCUGAAAUACACUAAUUCGUUCAUUUAAAAAAAUAUAUAUAAAAACAGUAUUAGUACACCCAAACAAUUAUAAAACGUGUGAAUCAAAAAGCGCAUAUUAGAGGUAGAUUAGAUAUCAUGCAUUGUUUUUUGCUUCCAUAUACACAACCUGUGAUUACAAUAAAUACCAUUCAUUAAUAUACAUAGCCAAAAAAAAAUACAAAGCGAAAAAA